AGUGGCAGACGGGUGAGUAAUGUAUAGGAAUCUACCUAGUAGUACGGAAUAAUUGUUGGAAACGGCAACUAAUACCGUAUACGCCCUACGGGGGAAAAAUUUAUUGCUAUUAGAUGAGCCUAUAUUAGAUUAGUUAGUUGGUGAGGUAAAGGCUUACCAAGACAAUGAUCUAUAGCUGAUCUGAGAGGAUGAUCAGCCACACUGGAACUGAGAUACGGUCCAGACUCCUACGGGAGGCAGCAGUGGGGAAUAUUGGACAAUGGGCGAAAGCCUGAUCCAGCCAUGCCGCAUGAGUGAAGAAGGCCUUCGGGUUGUAAAGCUCUUUUAGUGAGGAAGAUAAUGACGGUACUCACAGAAGAAGUCCUGGCUAACUUCGUGCCAGCAGCCGCGGUAAUACGAAGGGGGCUAGCGUUGUUCGGAUUUACUGGGCGUAAAGCGCACGCAGGCGGAUAUUUAAGUCAGAGGUGAAAUCCCGGGGCUCAACCCUGGAAUUGCCUUUGAUACUGGGUAUCUGGAGUACAGAAGAGGUAAGUGGAAUUCCGAGUGUAGAGGUGAAAUUCGUAGAUAUUCGGAGGAACACCAGUGGCGAAGGCGGCUUACUGGUCUGUUACUGACGCUGANGUGCGAAAGCGUGGGGAGCAAACAGGAUUAGAUACCCUGGUAGUCCACGCCGUAAACGAUGGAAGCUAGCCGUCGGCAAGUUUACUUGUCGGUGGCGCANUUAACGCAUUAAGCUUCCCGCCUGGGGAGUACGGUCGCAAGAUUAAAACUUAAAGGAANUGACGGGGGCCCGCACAAGCGGNGGAGCAUGUGGUUUAAUUCGAAGCAACGCGCANAA
This 838-nucleotide ribosomal RNA is filed under the name uncultured Hyphomicrobiales bacterium. RNAcentral describes it as "bacterial SSU rRNA". It matches the Rfam family "Bacterial small subunit ribosomal RNA", at positions 94 to 968 of the family's 1533-position model. The record is from RNAcentral. Lineage: Bacteria; Pseudomonadati; Pseudomonadota; Alphaproteobacteria; Hyphomicrobiales.